RNAcentral lists this long non-coding RNA (398 nucleotides) under Malus domestica (apple). RNAcentral describes it as "long non-coding RNA (MDOM_LNC013384)". Lineage: Eukaryota; Viridiplantae; Streptophyta; Magnoliopsida; Rosales; Rosaceae. The record is from RNAcentral.
GGCUAUUCUUGAACCCCUUCAUGAACUAAGCAUGGUGGGAAUGACUUAACUAAGUGCAAUGGAGCCAACAUCAUAUCAUUGUGAGGUGACAUUCUCUAGAGGCCAAAUAAGAUGGGUACUUGCAUUAGAUGCAAAUGAGUAAGUGUACUCUCUCAUUGUUAUUAAUGCUAGCCAACAUCAUAUCAUUGUGAGGUGGGCUUGGUAGUAGUGAGUUUCCCAUACCCUACUAAGAGUUUCCUCCAAAAACUCUCGAAUUCCAACGAGGGAUAUGGAAUUUGCCAAAAAUAGUGGGUGGUGCUAUUUGAUUUAAAGACCCGGAUCAAAUGGUUUAAAAUCAAUCAAUUUAUAUUCGUUAUGUAUUUGUUUACCAAUAUAUUUGCAAACGCUAUCCAACACUU